UCCAAAAAUUAGUCCCAGUUCAGAUUGCAGGCUGCAACUCGCCUGCAUGAAGUCGGAAUUGCUAGUAAUCGUGGAUCAGCAUGCCACGGUGAAUACGUUCCCGGGCCUUGUACACACCGCCCGUCACACCAUGGGAGUCGGUAACACCCGAAGCCUGUAGUCUAACCGCAAGGAGGACGCAGUCGAAGGUGGGAUUGAUGACUGGGGUGAAGUCGUAACAAGGUACC
RNAcentral lists this ribosomal RNA (227 nucleotides) under uncultured bacterium. RNAcentral's name for it is "partial 16S ribosomal RNA". It matches the Rfam family "Bacterial small subunit ribosomal RNA", at positions 1274 to 1500 of the family's 1533-position model. The record is from RNAcentral.